GGGAAGCAUCUGAGGAAGAUGUA
This 23-nucleotide non-coding RNA is filed under the name Arabidopsis thaliana (thale cress). Lineage: Eukaryota; Viridiplantae; Streptophyta; Magnoliopsida; Brassicales; Brassicaceae. The record is from RNAcentral.